GAGCGGGAAGAAUAGACCGCACUUAGGCGGCGUGCGCAUGCAACAGAUGACGGAUCCGCACCUGAACCAGCUGCUGUCUCGCCUCUCGCGCGGAACGCCGUGCGCCAGAAGAGGGAGAAUGCGUCACGCACGUUUUAGACUUAUCUCUUUCGCGGGUAUUUUCUUUUUUCGUGGAUCCCAAGAAAUUUUUUAGUUGAAUUCUAGCUGGCAUUCGGUUUAAAUGGUUCGCGCGGAGAUAGUGUAGAUUCGUUCUUGUUUGCUCGCAGUCCGAUCGCUUGGUGUUGAAUUGAGUUUGAGAGUCGCCGCCGAGAGGAUUCUUCGAAACGUCCCCGGCCUUUGAUCUUCGCCGAACUUGCAACCCGCCUACUUAGACGUCAAACUUGCCCGUCCCGUGCAGAUCGCGCUGAUUGCGGACUGAACCCAGAUAAAGGGCUGGCAGCGAAGUAAAACAGUAAAGACCACGGAAAGCACCACGAGCCCAGAUUGUGUCGCGCAACUCUGCUCGCGCCCGCUUUCCCUUGAACGGAAAACGUGAAAACUCGCCAAAGAAAUCACCGCCUGGCCACGGUUUGUGAUGAUUGUGAUGAGGUUACUCUCCGGAUCCGUGUCGCUAACUAUUUCGUGAUUUUGCCACAUUGUGCGCCCCGUCCUCCGCCGCCCGCUCGCAGGAUACCGUCCAGCCGCGGGAACUCUGUCGCCCUAAAAUCCAAUCGAUCCCCACAAAGUCAACGAGAAAUUCAAGUUUUUUAUUGGCGUUCGCUGGUCGUGUCUCAGAGUUUUCUUGUUUUCUUUUCACCGCGAUCUCGAGAUCAAGACACAUUUCUUCGGCCGGUCGUCAUCGCAAUCGUUCACCAGUUAUUUGUGCGGAAUUCCGAUCGAAUCGAGAGAACGUGCAGCUCGAAUUGUUUACCUGAUUUUCAGUUGUACGGCUUAAGUGAGACGUCGCGGGCAGUGAUCUCAGGUGCGGAGUCGCUUCCUCCCAAGUACGCUAACUGGCACAAUUGCAUUUCCCGCUGAUCCGGAACAAAUAACAAACGCAAAAUGAGUACAUGUGACAAUAAUAACGCGCAGCAGAACACACAGAGUAUAGCCGACUACCUGGCGCAGCUACUUAAGGAUAGGAAGCAGCUCGCCGCCUUCCCCAAUGUCUUCAAUCACGUGGAACGUCUUUUGGAAGAAGAAAUUGCCAAAGUCCGUGCAUCACUUUUUCAAAUAAAUGGAGUUAAAAAGGAGCCACUACAGUUGCCAGAACCAGAAGGUCAACCAGUCACAUUAAAUGAAAAAGUGUAUGUGCCAGUUAAAGAGCAUCCAGAUUUCAAUUUUGUUGGUCGAAUUCUUGGACCUCGUGGUAUGACAGCUAAACAGUUAGAACAGGAAACUGGCUGUAAAAUUAUGGUACGAGGAAAAGGUUCAAUGCGAGACAAAAAGAAGGAAGAUGCAAACCGUGGAAAACCAAAUUGGGAGCAUUUGUCAGAUGAACUGCAUGUUUUAAUCACAGUUGAAGAUACAGAAAAUCGUGCCAGAGUCAAAUUAGCCAGAGCUGUUGAAGAAGUACAAAAGUUAUUAGUACCACAGGCGGAAGGUGAAGACGAAUUGAAGAAACGACAGCUUAUGGAAUUGGCCAUCAUCAAUGGAACAUAUAGAGAUACAACCGCCAAAACAGCAGCUGCAGCCUGCGAGGAGGAAUGGCGUCGUGUUGCUGCCGUUGCCGCCGAAUCCCGUAUACUAUCACCAGCCACCAUGUCAGGUUUGGCUGCCCAACAAUUACGUAACCCAACCGCCCCACUUGGAGCCCCACUCAUCUUAUCACCCCGAAUGUCUGUACCAACCACAGCCGCCAGUAUCCUAUCAGGAUCUGCACCACCAACAAUUGAUCAUCCAGGACUGAUAUAUGCAACACCGUAUGGUGACUAUGCUGCAAAUUAUGCAGCAUUGGCAGCUGGCAAUCCUUUACUUACGGAAUACACAGAUCAUAGCGUAGGAGCAUUAAAACAGCAGAGGCGUUUGGCCACCCGAGACCAUCCAUAUCAAAGGGCCGGGGCUCUCUCAUAGAUAUUUCUAAAUACAAUAUAUUCAACGCAUCAAUAUUUAAGAUAAAUCGAAAGAAAAAAAUAUAGAAUUAAAAUAUUUUAAAGAGAAGAAGCAAGGGAAAUAUAAAUAAAAUACUACGAUCGAUGAAAAAAGUAAUACAGUAUGAUGUGCUUGAGUGAGAAACGAUUACACUCUUAACUAAAGCAAUACUAAUUAUUAGAAAAUAUAUAGAAUAUAAAGAGAAAAAUACCCCAAAAAGGAAUUGAAUUGAAAGCAUUCAAGAGGAAAAUGGAUAAAGAUGAAAAGAGAGAGCCCCCACAUGUUAAAAAAAUGUUCCGCCUGAUUGAUAUCAAAAUAUUCUAAUCAUCAAGUUUAACAUUUCAGCCUCCAAAGAGUAGCAAGACUAUAGGCGAGAGUAACGUGACACAUUUUUGAAAUGCAAAACCGGAAACAUGGUAUAGCCUGCAUGGGACACCUUAACAACAAAACAAUGCAAUAUUCGAUAUCAAUCAGCGAAAGCAGAAGACUGAAAGACGCCUUCUCUUCUGUCAAUUGCUGCAAUUACUAUUUCAUUGCUGUAAAUAACUGAUUUUCUACAUAUCGUGCCUUGUGCGGUUAUACUGUGCAUUAUUAGGUGUAAGAUAAACCAGAAAUGGAAAAAGAGGUAUCACAAAAAGGUGAAAAUCACAAAAUUCAACAAACAACAAAAUCGUAGACAUAGUUUUGAUUCUGAACCAUCCAAACACCCAACGUAUACUUUAUUGAUCAUAGAAAUUAACCAAAUUGAAAUAUAAAUUAACUGGCAAAUGUCUCUUUUAUUUCAUUUGCCAGGGGGCCCACACACACAAUCUACGCUGUGUGCUAUGUAUGCUUUCAUAAUAAAGUAGUGAAAAUCCAGGCUGCAUUUUCGAAUGUAGAGGAAGUCUGCCGAUGAAGUGAUGUGCACUGAAUCUCAAGAAAUUUUUAAAAACUCGAAAACAGAUAAUCUCAUCUAUAAAAUUGCUUUGUAAAUAUUUAUGAAAUUUAUUUAUUUUUCGAAGGCAAUAUUAAAUAGUAAGGUCGUUAACUUCUACACAUUUAUGUUCUUCAGGAGUGUAAUAUUGAAAUGAAAAAGUAUUUAGGCAAAAUGUUGCGUUUCGAACAUAAUUUCUUCGGCCAAUACGGAAGUAAACGUUUCAAUAAAACAAAUACUCGAAUAGUAUGUCUUAGAACUACUAGAAAGGCGAACAUUAUUUUAAUUCCCCUUUCCGGCCAUUUUGUGUAAACCGGAUAAUCGAUUUGGGGGUACCAUCCUUUAGUUUUUGUUUUGAAUACAUACCGCUAAGUGAGAUAAAUAAAUCGAGGCGCAGCUCCAGAAAAUACCUACCCAACCACUGUAAUUUAUCCGUCCAACCCCUUGUAUCUUCUUCGAUUAUGAUGUCCUCGAAUGAAUCAGUCUUAAUAGGAUCUAAAUGUUGAAUAUAAUUAUAAAUAAAUUCGUUUAACACUACGGCAAUUGCUAUAAUAAUCAAAAUACUGUUUAAAAUAUUAUUAGAAGGUAGUCGUAAAGUAAUAAAUAUAUAGAAUUAACUGCUAUGUUCAUUCAGCCAUCGGAUUCUUCUUCAGCACUCACUUGACUUCUCCUCUACAUUGAAAAGGCGAUUCUGUAUUCAAAUUAUAGAAAUGUCUAACAUUUUCCUUAAAGAUAAUUUAGUUAUUAUUAAUGCGAAUAUAAGAUAAGUAUAUUUGUUAUAACAUCUAAUUGUAAUAUUUAAAAUCAUGAAAUUCGAGAAAAAAACAUUUAAAAUUAAAAUUAUUUUAUAUCACGUUUUACAAAUAUUGAAUGCGCCAUAUAAUGUUUAGUUUUUCUUCGUUUUAAGCUGAACAUACAAAUAAAAUAUAGAAAAUUAAUUGUUACACAAAUUAACGUAAAAAAUUAUAGUAAAUAUUAGAAGCUUGUCGAAGAUUAGAUUCAUAAAGUUAUCUUUGGGCAUUUUUCUCUUAGUUUUCGAUGAGUAACAUUUUCGAAAUUCAUCGUUUUAAAGCACAAAUCAAAAUUCUAAUAGUAACUUUCCGAUGUUGAGAUUCUUUUAGAAAGUAAUUUUAUGUGUGCAGCUGGAUUUGAUUUUAAAAAAAUGCAUUUAUAAUUUCUUGAGGGGCUUGCAAGUUGCAAGAUCAAUCCUAUCCAUCUGAAAGAUUUAAAUUCAGAGUGUUUAUGCAGAACUGAAGAAAUGUUAAAUCGUGUCCAUUUUCAUUUGAUUGGAAAAUGGAAUUGCCUAAUUUUUUCAUUUGAUACAAAUAUUGCCUCCCAUUCAGAUAAGAAUCGGCGUACACACCUUUGUCUUCUUUAUUGGUGCCUUAAUCGGAAAUUUUGUGGAAUAGAACGGAAAUUGUUAUAUAAUUCAAAGUUAUUGAAUACGCAAUGGAAAAGUAUAUUAAUGUGUUUGCAACUCGUACUUUAGACCUCCAAAAUAUAAAUAUUUACAUCUUAAUUUAAUUGAAAGCAAAUUAAUCAAAUAAUAUUAAAUUAAUGUGCAAUUAAUGUUUAUUAAGCAUGAAUUUAUUAUUGAAAGUUAAAUAUAUAGAUUUAUAUAUCAGAACAAUAAACCAUCAUGUAUGUAAAAAGCGUUGUUUUCUUAAUUUUGCAUAUACAUGGAUUAUGUCUACAAAAAUCGAUAUUGUUUAUAUAAAACGAUAUUCUAUUCUAAUGCAAUUGUGUAACUUAUUUUUAAAAUAAUUAAAACUAGCUACAAGUAAGAAACCUUUCACGCACAAAUUAUGCAUUAAAUCAAUUCAGAAAAGUAAACUCACAACGCAUAAUUUAACAACUACUUAUCUAUAAAAAAUACUUUUAGAUAAAUACACAAUGAAGUUUAUUUACACUGAUUACGUUUUAAAAUAAAUAUUAACUCUAAUUAAUUAUUUCGUCUGUUUGUUGUGUUUUCGUUAGAAAUUUUUUUCUAAAUAUGGUUUUCAUUUAUAAAAGCAAGUGCGAUCCGCUGUAAGAAGAAAGUUCUUUUCUAGAAAACAGGAGCAAGCGGGAAAACAUUUUCGAACCUAAUAAUUCAAACUUUUUAACAAGUUUAAGUAAAUUAACAUACGAGUACACAAAAGAAUAACGCAAUCUCAUUUUUAUUCGCAGUUUAUGCUAAAUGAUAGUUAUGUUCAUAUGUUUUAUUGUCUAUAUAAAUUGAAACCAAUAAUACUUUAUUUUCAACUAGUUAUAAGUGAACAGCAAACAAAACAGAGAUAACGAAAAUAAAAGCAAAAUUGUAAACAAAAAUUAUUAUUGUAGUCAAAACAACGGUUUUUGUUUGUUUGUCUAUUGUAAAAAAAAUAAGGAAGAAUAUUUUUAAAUAAAAUUUAU
This 5377-nucleotide unclassified non-coding RNA is filed under the name Hermetia illucens (black soldier fly). RNAcentral's name for it is "protein held out wings, transcript variant X4". Lineage: Eukaryota; Metazoa; Arthropoda; Insecta; Diptera; Stratiomyidae. The record is from RNAcentral.